GGCCGUGUAGCUCAGUGGUUUAGAGCACCGGACCCAGCUUGUCCAGAGGUCUUGGGUUCAAUCCCCAAUGUGGCCA
Molecule: non-coding RNA, 76 nt
Organism: Multifurca ochricompacta
Lineage: Eukaryota; Fungi; Basidiomycota; Agaricomycetes; Russulales; Russulaceae
Source: the annotation of a GenBank genome assembly